AGGGAUAUAACUCAGCGGCAGAGUGCCACCUUGACAUGGUGGAAGCCAUCAGUUCAAGUCUGAUUAUCCCUA
This 72-nucleotide transfer RNA is filed under the name Chara vulgaris. Its description in RNAcentral is "tRNA-Val". It matches the Rfam family "tRNA". From Rfam's summary of the family: Transfer RNA (tRNA) molecules are approximately 80 nucleotides in length. Their secondary structure includes four short double-helical elements and three loops (D, anti-codon, and T loops). Further hydrogen bonds mediate the characteristic L-shaped molecular structure. tRNAs have two regions of fundamental functional importance: the anti-codon, which is responsible for specific mRNA codon recognition, and the 3' end, to which the tRNAs corresponding amino acid is attached (by aminoacyl-tRNA synthetases). tRNAs cope with the degeneracy of the genetic code in two manners: having more than one tRNA (with a specific anti-codon) for a particular amino acid; and 'wobble' base-pairing, i.e. permitting non-standard base-pairing at the 3rd anti-codon position. The record is from RNAcentral. Lineage: Eukaryota; Viridiplantae; Streptophyta; Charophyceae; Charales; Characeae.